Long non-coding RNA from Arachis duranensis, 171 nucleotides. RefSeq lists it as uncharacterized. Lineage: Eukaryota; Viridiplantae; Streptophyta; Magnoliopsida; Fabales; Fabaceae. The record is from RefSeq and is a predicted model, not a curated record. The transcript has 3 exons.
UCUAUCUAAGUUUUGUGGGAUACUCCAACAUGGAUUCUAAGUGAGUUCUAUCCCUACUUCAUAUGGGCUGAGUGUAUUUGAUGGUUUUGGUGCACAAUUGGGAGAUUGGUGUUGCUUGAGGAGCUUUGGUGAGGCUUGGGGCUAAGGUUGGUGGAGACUUCCAAAGAAGAG